AACAGAUUUUCCCUUGUCAUAAAUUCUCCAAUCUGCCAAAAAAGAAAAACAUAUUUUUACGAAUGUUUGUAACUUACCAGUUUAUCUACCACACUUUCUAAUGGGAAUGUAUUCAUUUUUCUGCAGCUGUAAUGAGAAAGAUGUUUCCUGUUUCUUUUCCAGGGUAGCAUUCUCAAAGUUAAGCCCCGAGAUUCUGUUCAAAAUUACCCCAAAACAGACCAGAUUUCAGAACCCUACCACAAUCACUCUGUGAAAGAAAAAGAGCCCAGCUUGUCAACAGCGGAGGCCAUUGUGGAGCCCCAUGGGAAGAAUCACAUUGUAUCAUGUUUUCAUGGAAAGGGCAGCAAUACAUCUUCUAGCAGGUUGAACCAAGGGCAAACAACAGGAGAAAAUAAAAAUGAAGAGAAGGGUAAAGUCAGUUAUUUCUAUUUUUCCCUCUUUAUGUUUUUCCUUUGUGUUGUGUGUGUGUGUGUGUGUGUGUGUGUGUUAUUUUUGUUUUGUCUUGUGGUGUUUUGCUACAUCUUAAGCUGUAAUGUGGCUACAUUACACACUGGAUGGCCCUUCCAUUUUGGAAGCCUAAACUUAUUGUAUGGGAAAGCUACAUUGAAAUAGACCAGUGCUAGCCUAUUGCUGGUUUUACCAAUCAUCCCAAUUCAGAUGCCAGAAAUGGAAACUGAGCCACCUUGACUCCUCUAUAUCAGCACAUUUAUCAGCUGAAUAUUACCAAAUUUAAUGUGAUAUGGAUCCAAAUAAUUGCUCAACUGAGCUUUACUAAAAUUCCCGACAUAAUAUUUUUAAACUACUAAAUUUCAGAUCAGUUUGUUACAUAACAAUAAAUAACAAGCAGAAAUUGGUAACAGAAUUGGAGUGUUUUAAAAAUGCCUGAAAGGUAUAACACUGUUUUAUAAUAGUGGCAGGUGGAAACUAAAAGGUCCUGAAAGAGAAUGUUCACAAUAGUUGUAGGGGCCUCAGUAAGGCUGUUGAAGGCUUGAAGGUGAGUGAGAAAAAUGGCCUUGGAGUCUGAAGAAAACAGAAACAUUCUAAUGAAAUAGCAGAAAUUUGUCAAAACUGUUUGCUGUUUGCUAUAUAACAUAGAAAAUAAAAAAAAAUGAUCUCAUAAACUUUUGUAUCUCACAAGGGAUAUUUCAGGCAUUAUCAAAGAAAUCCUCUAGUCUUCUAGCUUCCAAUGAUAAAAUAUGAGAAAUAGUGAAUUAAAUAAGUAUUGGUUUAGUUUUUGAAAAAUAUUAGAGAAAAUACACCAGCAAAACUUGCUGGUUUUACAAAUGCGACUGGUUCUCAUAUCCAUUUUUUUGUUGCAAAAGACUUUUAAAUUAAGAAAUGGAAUAAAAGUGAAGAUAGUCCGGUGGCUCACGCCUGUAAUCCCAGCACUUUGGGAGGCCGAGGUAGGCGGAUCACAAGGUCAGGAGAUCGAGACCACGGUGAAACCCCGUCUCUACUAAAAUACAAAAAUUAGCGAGCGUAGUGGCGAGCCUGUAGUCCCAGCUACUCAGGAGGCUGAGGCAGGAGAAUGGCGUAAACCCAGGAGGCGGAGCUUGCAGUGAGCGAGAUGUACUGCACUCCAGCCUGGGCGACAGAGUGAGACUCCGUCUCAAAAAAAAAAAAAAAAAAAAAAAGUGAAGAUCAAGUCCAAGGUGACACCAGUAAACAUAGCCUGAGGGUUAAAAUUUCAUCUGUGUGGCUGUAAGAGCCUUUGUGCAGACCCCAGAAAAAUUCACGGGCCUAUCCAAUAUGGCAUUUAAAUCUCUUAAGGGUAUUGUAAAAUAGCACCCUGACUC
This 1796-nucleotide long non-coding RNA is filed under the name Macaca fascicularis (crab-eating macaque). RNAcentral describes it as "lncRNA (ENSMFAG00000050703.1)". The record is from RNAcentral. Lineage: Eukaryota; Metazoa; Chordata; Mammalia; Primates; Cercopithecidae.